RNAcentral lists this long non-coding RNA (1897 nucleotides) under Gossypium barbadense (sea-island cotton). RNAcentral's name for it is "long non-coding RNA (GBAR_LNC017824)". Lineage: Eukaryota; Viridiplantae; Streptophyta; Magnoliopsida; Malvales; Malvaceae. The record is from RNAcentral.
CACAUAACCAAAAACUCAAAGCCUUAAUUUACCGAAACGAUAACCGAAUAGUGUGAUGACGACUCCAACGACUUCCAACCGAGUAAGUCUUUGGAACUCUAAAAAGUAUACGAAAAAAAAACACACAGAGUAAGCUAUUACAGCUUAGUAAGUCAUGAGCAAUUAAAUAACUUAACAACAUUUAAUUAGUUACAACAAAAUCAAAUAAUGUUUUCAAUAUUCAUAUCCAUUUCCAUAAUCGAAAAAUACAUUUAUCAAACAUAUACUAUACAUCAAAUCCAUAUUUAACCGAAUACACAUAAGUUUAACAUUUGGCCGAAUAUAUAUAAUGUCAUUCACAUGUGCAACUCUCAUUUUUAACCUUAUUAUUACAUUUCUAUUUUGACCGAAUAUAAACUACAUUAUCAACUCAUUUUUAACCAAAUUAAAUUAUACUAGCAUAAUCACAUUUAACCUCAAGCUUAACGUUUCAUAUAAAACAUGUGUUUUCUUAAAUAAAUCGUAUCUUAACCGAAUGUACAUGUAUAUAUAUUCAAAGUGUCAUUCAAUUCAAAGACAUAAUAUCAUUAUAUAUUUGAAUAUAUAUUUACACACAUAUACAUAUAACUUUGAACCAAAAUAUAACAUCAUAUGCAUAUACAUAACACAUGGCCGAAUAUACUUCACCAAUGUACAUAUGUUCACAUUAGUAACUUAUAUAAUUUAUAUCACAUACCAACUGGCCAACUUACCGUAUUUUUAAAUAGGUAGUCAAGUAACUCAUACCUGAUCAUUUUAGCUCGUUUUACACCUUUAAUCACAACUUAUUAUUGCCCGCUGAACCAUUCGGAAUUUAAUAGGAUACUCGAAUAAUCACAUAUAUCGAACAAUGCCAACGUCCCAGACGUGGUCUUACAUGCUAUAUCAUAUCGAUGCCACUGUCCCAGACAGGGUCUUACACGAAUCAAAUACGAUGCCAAUGUCCUAGACAUGGUCUUACACGUAAUCACAUAUAUCGAUGCCAUCGUCCCAGACGUGGUCUUACACGAGAACACAUAUUGGAAAUCCUAUGUCAUGACAUAUGUAUCCUAGCUAUUCCUAAGGUUCGUACGGGCCUUUCGGACAUCGUAACUCUGUCGAAACGAAUUCAUAAACAUAGCUUCCAAGCUUAUUUUCAUUUGAUUAACACAUGUAUAAUUUCACAUAUUUCCUUUCAGCAUAUAAAAUCAUAUUUAAUUAAAAUAAACAGUAUAUAUAGAUGCUUAUAGACUUACCUCGGAUAUCGACGGGUAUAUAAAACGACUAUUCAACUACUAUUUUUUUCCCCAGAUCCAAGUCUGAUUUCUUUUGUUCUUGAUCUAUACAAUUUCAAAUUAAGCUUAUUUAAACAUAAUUUCAUUCAAUUUAAUCCAAAAAACACAUAAAUGAGAAAAUUACUAUUUUACCCCUGACAUUUUAUACUUUUUACAAUUUAGUCCAAUUUGCAUAAAACACAAAACAUACAAAAUUUACACAUACCAAGCUUUGGCCGAAUAUUCAUUAUGCCUAUGCAAGCUCACAAAAUUCAUUUAUUUUACAUUUUAGUCCCUCAAUUUAUUAUUUUUUCAAUUUAGCCCUAAUUACUCAAAUUCAUCAAAAUUUCCAAUACAAAACAUACUAACCCAAAACAUAUCUUCAAUAAUUCAUCAUCAAACAUCACAAAACACAAUUAUUCAUCAAUGGAAUAACUCAAAAUAUUCAUCAGAAUCAAAAAUUGAAGCAUGGGUCGGGUAGUAUUCGAAGCAAAGAUCUCAAAAACAUAAAAAUCAUCAAAAACCGAAACCGAAACAUACCUUAAUUUGCUUGAACAAGGGCCGAAUACCUAGCUUGGUUUUCUUAUUUUCUUUCUCUUUUCAUUCGGCACAAAUAUAAUGAAAAU